GUGGCAGUUUCAGGCCCUCGACUCCACUCUAUCGAAUCGUCGCUAUGUCGCUCUGUUGCUCUGUUGCUGACAAGGGCAGCAGCAGCAGCAGCAAAGGCAUGGCAAUGUCCAUGCCGUCGGUGGAAAUACGCCCGCCCAAAAAAAAAGCCAGCGGGAAAAAGCGAAAUAGAAGUGAGCGAUGGCAGCGUAAUUGACAAAAGGUUUCACUGGCAUUCAAUGCCAGUGCCAGGCUCGUUGUCGUCCUCUGACAAAUACAGCACACGCUCUCCCUACUGUCUGUUCAACACCCUUCAGCCAUGCUGGGGGUGCUCCUCCCAAAGCCCUCCAAGCGGUGUGAGAGAGGGAGCGACACGCACCACACAUACACACAUCCACACAUCCACACACGCAAUCAACGCAAUCGACACGCAAAAAUUGUAGAAGAGCGCUGAAAAGAUCAAAGCCGUUCAAUUGUCAGCGACGACAGUUGGAGAGGACCCCGGAAGGAUGGGCGGAGAGAAAGGUCCGGAAGAGCGAGGCUCCACCGCCAGUUCGUGAUUUGUCAAAGCAGCGAAGAUGCCCUGAAGGAUGCCAUGUCCCCCUGCUCCAGUUGUCAGCCAAAUGUUUAGCUCGAAACUUUCAACCAAAAAUAAAGCAGAUGUCGAAAAAGUUGCUUAGUUGGCAUUUCCACACGAAAACUGUUGAUUAACAUGGAACAAUCAAAGCAACCCAAAACAUAUCGAAAAACGAACAAACGAAAACGAAUGAAAAUUUCUAAGAUCUUCUACCAAAGGAGGUUUUUCCUUUAAGCUCAAAAGAGGAUGAGAUAAGUCAUUUCAUUGUCAAACAUCAACACACGAACACCUUCAAAAUUCCAAAUCUGGAAUAAAUUUCUCUAACGGGUCUCUAAGCCUCACGAAUCGAAGAUGUGUAGCCCCUGCUGUGGACCUUGUGGACCUUGUGGACCCUGUUGCAGUCCUUGCUGCGGCCCCUGCGGCCCAUGCGGCCCCUGCGGUCCUUGCGGUCCGUGCGGCCCGUGUGGCCCUUGUUGCAGUGACUGUUGUGGCCCAUGCUGUGGACCCUGUUGCAGCCCGUGCUGUGGCCCAUGCUGUGGACCCUGUUGCGGCCCCUGCUGCAGUCCGUGUUGCGGCCCCUGUUGCGGCCCCUGCUGUGGACCUUGUGGGCCAUGUUGUGGGCCAUGUUGUGGGCCAUGUUGCGGUCCCUGUUGUGGCCCCUGCUGUGGCCCAUGCUGUGGACCCUGCUGCAGCCCUUGUUGCGGCCCCUGUUGCGGCCCCUGCUGUGGACCUUGUUGUGGGCCAUGUUGUGGCCCCUGUGGUCCAUGUGGUCCAAAGUGCAAGUGAGAAGGUGGCAAAGACACAAAUGUCACCAUAAGUUCGUUAACGCCCGUUAGAGAAUCCACAACAUCAACUCUCCAGAAAAGUCAAUGAAAAUACAUAGAAAUUCAACCAAAAACAGAAGGAAGUUUUCUUGGUGGGAAGGGGAAAACACCAUCUGCACAGGGAGACCCUGUGGGCCUUGUUAAUGAAGACACAGAUUAGACGACAGGAACAGGGACACACA
Drosophila pseudoobscura is the source of this 1560-nucleotide RNA transcript. RefSeq lists it as uncharacterized. NCBI's taxonomy places the organism in Eukaryota, Metazoa, Arthropoda, Insecta, Diptera, Drosophilidae. The transcript is spliced from 4 exons. The record is from RefSeq and is a predicted model, not a curated record.